This 308-nucleotide ribosomal RNA is filed under the name uncultured bacterium. RNAcentral describes it as "partial 16S ribosomal RNA". It matches the Rfam family "Bacterial small subunit ribosomal RNA", at positions 505 to 807 of the family's 1533-position model. The record is from RNAcentral.
GAGACAGCAGCAGCCGCGGGAAUACGGAGGGUGCAAGCGUUAAUCGGAAUUACUGGGCGUAAAGCGCACGCAGGCGGUCUGACAAGUCAGAUGUGAAAUCCCCGGGCUUAACCUGGGAACUGCAUUUGAAACUGUCAGGCUGGAGUCUUGUAGAGGGGGGUGGAAUUCCAGGUGUAGCGGUGAAAUGCGUAGAGAUCUGGAGGAAUACCGGUGGCGAAGGCGGCCCCCUGGACAAAGACUGACGCUCAGGUGCGAAAGCGUGGGGAGCAAACAGGAUUAGAUACCCCAGUAGUCCCUGUCUCUUAUAC